RNAcentral lists this long non-coding RNA (306 nucleotides) under Mytilus galloprovincialis (Mediterranean mussel). Lineage: Eukaryota; Metazoa; Mollusca; Bivalvia; Mytilida; Mytilidae. The record is from RNAcentral.
GGGGUUCGCGGGUCUAAAUCAUUUAUAUAGGAUUUCUCUAUAUUUUUCUAUAAAUGAACUUUAUCUUUAAGUGAAUAGAAAAAUAAAAUAAAAAAGUGGGGUCACCGUUCAUUUGCGCUCACAAUCUAUCUUCGAAAGAAGCAUACAUUUUUGUAAAGGUGGUUUUUUUCUGUUGAAGUAAUAGGAGAAAUAAAAGUAAUAUCGAAAUAAAAAAAAGAAAUUUAUUACAGAAAUCGCUAAAAUUUUACAAUAAUUUAGCUUAAGUACAGCUUAUAUGGAAAUUAUAUUAAAAAAGAUAGGUCACCG